UCUUUUCCUAUUUAGGGAUUUGAGAUUAUACACACACACACAUACACGAUUAAGAGUUUCCAGUUCAAACUUACACUGUUAAUUUUUAUUUUUUUCCCCCUAACCAUAAAUGCGCUGCUGCCUGUAUGAGUGUGUCAAUUUGUGUCUCAUUCAGUAUCCAGGGUUUUUCCCCCACCACGUGAUAUGAUAUAAUUAGAAAAGAAGCUAAUACUUUUCAUUAUUGUGAUUAACUUGCAACUGAAUGAAUGGGAUUCAUUUGCAGCUAUCCGUACUUGGCAGUUGUUCUUAAUUUCAGCCAAAGCUGGGCCCUG
RNAcentral lists this unclassified non-coding RNA (311 nucleotides) under Hevea brasiliensis (rubber tree). The record is from RNAcentral. Lineage: Eukaryota; Viridiplantae; Streptophyta; Magnoliopsida; Malpighiales; Euphorbiaceae.